Long non-coding RNA from Lutra lutra (Eurasian river otter), 1916 nucleotides. RefSeq lists it as uncharacterized. The record is from RefSeq and is a predicted model, not a curated record. Lineage: Eukaryota; Metazoa; Chordata; Mammalia; Carnivora; Mustelidae. The transcript has 3 exons.
CUGAGCCAAAGGCAGAGGCUUAACCCACUGAGCCACCCAGGUGCCCCUAGAUACUCAGUCUUAACUAGAGAGUGGUUUUUUUGAGCUGAUGAAGGGGAAGGAUUGGGAAAAGCCCCUGUAGUUGCUUGGAGUUCUAACACUGGGGAUUGGCCGGGCACCGACAAGGCUGGUUAGAGUGCUGCAGGUGCCUGGAGCACUUAAGCUUGCAACCGUCUCCAGUUGCUUGCCUUUUACAGUAAUGGCAGAGACCAGGAAGGUUGUUUUUUUCUUUUUUUUUUUUUUAAAGGGGCCUCCAUUUGUUGGAGAUGAAAGUUAAAGAUUUUAGUGGUCUUCCUUUUAGUUAAAUCAUCUAGGUGCAAGUGAGCUGGCUUGCUAAAUUAACUAAAUCUGGAGUGGGCAUAGUUUCCUAUUCCAUCCUGCUCCUUUUAACUAGAAGAAGGUGAUCCUAGUUCAGCCCAUUAAUGAACAGACUUAAAGGCAACCCAGGUGGAUUCAGUGACUUAAAGGAAGACUGGAAUUCUCUCCAUAAAUGGUUUGGAGCUGGCUGUCAUAAUCAUGCAUGGGUUUAUUGGGCUUCUGUGUAUAGGCCUGAGUCUUACUCUAUCUGACUGUCUUACAAAUAUGUUUGAGUCAGAUCUAUUCUUUAUUAUUAAGUCACUAUACAUGACCUGUUUCUUCCUGUGUGACAGCUGCGUGGGGGAGGUUGGCGGUGGUGGCUUCCAACUUUGUAUCUGCUGUACCUGGUACAUAGGAAGUAGGCCCUCAGAAUUUGUGGAAUGUUGUUAACCUAUUGAAUGAUGGAUGCAUUUGCUUAUGGUCUUAACGCUGCAUAGAAUGCCCCUAUUUUUUCCCAUUUAUUCUUUAAGUGUCCCCAGUGAGAAUGUCAAUACUCUUAUGAAGUGCCCCAUUCCAUGUCCUCUACAGGAAUUCUUUGCCACUCAAGCCGUGAUGUGGAAGUGCCUUGAUGCCUUUUACGGCACCUCUCAUGGUCCCUGGUUUUAGGAUCCGCUGCAGUUACCUUUUUCACCUUGUGUGUCGAUCUCAGAGUGGUAUUUCCUUAGCUUUGGAUCAUUGAUGCAGAGCUCCGUGCCUUUCACAUAGUUGAUAAUCAAGUAUUGGAACUAUUUUCCCCUAACUAAUUAGUUUUAAAAAUUUACCUUGUUUUUUAUAUCCUUCCAUUAAAAUUGAUCACUUCACUUAUUCAUCAAUAUAGAUAAAAUAGUAAUUUUUCAGUAGGUUUUUAACUCAUGGCCAUGAGAGCUAAAUCUAAUUUGUUUUUAACUUACUUACAUUACUAGAGGGAAUAGCAGUUAUUAUGUAAGUAAUCAAAACCAAGGUGAUAUCCAUGUGUUUUUUAUUUUCUUAUUGAUUUUUCAGAUUUCUUUUUCUUUUGUCUUGAUUGUUUGAAAACCAAAAUAUAUAUGUUUUCUUAAAGAUGGGACUGAAGUUUACUUUCUAACUGGGUUAGUCAUUCUUCCAGAAGAAUCUUGAGCCCAGCAAACUUGGGUAGAGUUAAAGAGGCAGAGAGGCCAGAGAUUAUAAAGCCAGACAUGGAAUUGGUUUGGGCAUAUAGAAGGGUCUGGAAACCAAGAGCAAGUCAAGCAAUUUCACUUAUAAACAUACCAGUUUUCUGGAAAAUUUUCUGAAAUUUUCUGAAAAAUUUGAACUACUUGCACAUUUUUUUUUUCCUCAAAACCUCCAAAGAAGUUUUAAGAUAUUGAAUAUCAUAUGACCCUUUCUGGUGGGGGUUUUGUACUUUAUUUUUUAACAGUGUGAACACCCUUGAGGUCUUUCUGUCAAAAGCUAUGUAUUUUUUAAGUGGGUUUUCACUUUUUUUUUUUUUAAGAUUUUAUUUAUUUUUUUUGACAGAGAUCACAAGUAGACAGAGAAGCAGGCAGAGAGAGAGAGGGAAGCAG